This 292-nucleotide ribosomal RNA is filed under the name uncultured bacterium. RNAcentral's name for it is "partial 16S ribosomal RNA". It matches the Rfam family "Bacterial small subunit ribosomal RNA", at positions 505 to 796 of the family's 1533-position model. The record is from RNAcentral.
GUGUCAGCAGCCGCGGUAAUACGUAGGUGACGAGCGUUAUCCGGAAUUACUGGGCGUAAAGCGCACGCAGGCGGUUGAGAUAGUCUGGCGUAAAAUCUCCUGGCUUAACUGGGAGGGGUCGUUGGAAACUGCUCGACUUGAGGCAACGAGAGGGGUGUAGAAUUCCCGGUGUAGUGGUGGAAUGCGUAGAUAUCGGGAGGAAUACCAGAGGCGAAAGCGGCACCCUGGCGUUAGCCUGACGCUCAUGUGCGAAGGCGUGGGGAGCGAACGGGAUUAGAUACCCCCGUAGUCC